AAAUUUUAAAUGCACAAGUAAAAAAAUUUAACAUUUUUUAAUACCUAAAUUAACACUAAGUAAAAAUACUUUUACCUAAUAAUUAACGUGGAAGCUAUUAGCUGAAAGGGUAGUUUUGUCAAUUCAAAAACUCCAGCGAAAAUAUUGUACUGACUAAAAUUUCUUUUCAACUCGCUUGUCAAGAAAAAACGCUUAGGUGUGACAAAUAAUUUAAAUUUAAAAUUUAAAGUAAGAAGCAAAAAGAAAACCAUAAAAUAAAAUAAAAAAAGGUUUUAAAAAGAAACUCCCUCCUUUUUUUUUAAACGUUUUAACUAUUUGUGUGAUUAUUAUGCCUAGGAGGGAGUUCGAAAAAGCAAAGCCAAAAGAGCUGUUUCUUUGAAAUUCAUCUUCUCUUCUUCAUAUGUUCGUUGUGCGAUGAACCAAACCAAACGUGGGCUUGUGAGGCUGAUACUCUUCCGUGAACACAUUUGUUUUCUUUUUUGUUCUUCUCUCAAUCUUUCUGAAUUCUGAAUCGCUUAAUGCUCAACGAUUCUUCUGGCAUUAUCUCCCUACUGCAAGAUCUUCAUCUCACACAGUCUUCUUCCAAAGUUCUCUCAGGUUAGUGGAUUCGCUUCACGAACAUCUGAACGAGUUGGUAAUUUCGUGAGUGUUUUUGUUUUCCCCGUUCUUUUUCUCUGUUUCUAUUUUCAUCGUUUUUUUUCUCAUUUUUUGUUUCGCGGCACGUAAUACGGGGAUAACAGAAGAAAAUGAGGAUUGUUGUUUGAAAUUUUUUGUUGUUGUCAUCUUGAAUUUUAGUUUCUAAGUGAGGCAUUUCGAGUUAGUUGAUAUUCAUCUUUUGAUUUUUAGGUUUUCAGUGUUUAUGAUUUUCUUUUUUAUACUUUGUCAGAUAUUUAUGUUUGAACUGAAAGUGUUCAAGAUAAGAUCUAUUUGUGUGUGGAUGUUGUAGUAAUUUAAAAAAGAAAAAAGAAAAAGAAAGAUUGAAGGUGGAAUUUUCAACCUUGAGGGAAGGUGAUUAAGCUUGGGUCCAUUGAAUUAGCCGAGUGGGAGUGUGGAUGUGUUAGGUUAAUGAUUUUGAAUUUUACAGCUUGAAAUGCGGUUGAACGUGAUGAUUCGAUGAGGACUUUAAAGCAUGGAGCACUGGACUAGAGGAGCGGAGAGUAGAGUGUCUAUGUGGAGCUAGGGUUAUCCUGAUAAAGUCAUUCAUUGGGGGCCUUGUUUAAAGUUUGAAAGGCUCAUUUGUAUGGAAAGUUAGCUUUUUUGUUUUUUAAAAAAAUGUUAUGAGUUUUUGUUUUUUUCGCAAUUUGCAAUUGGCGAUGGUAACCUUUUUUGUUAAUGGCAAUUCGCAAUCAAGUGUCCUGCCUGCCUUCCAGUCCAUCAAGUCAUUACCCUCCGAGUUCAAGUUUGCCAACAAUCCAAACCCUCUGGUUGUGGAAAAACAUGGAGAUGUCAAAUGUAGACACACCAAUCCAAUUUGAUCAAAUGGUUUUGAGAAUGGUGCACUAGUAGGGGAGGUUUGUAUGGGAGUUCGAGUAAAUUUACAGAUCAAGACAUGACCAUAUCCGGUUGUUCUUCUUGUUCUUGAUGUUCAUGCAUGCAUAGCAAAAGAUCCUCGGCAUUUUCGACGACUUGUUGUUUUCCUGAUGCAAAAUUUCCUGGUAGACAAUUCCCUUUUGGAGAAAGUGGUGCUUUGAUGAUUCACGGGCUUUGUGUGCUUUUGAAGGCUGAGAGAGUCUACCGUGAACUUUACACUAUACUAGAAGGGGAGUCUGACCUGGAAUUUGUUUCAAUUAUGGUUCACGUGGGAUAUGAACAUUUGGAUAACCUUAUAAAAUCUGCUUUUGGAUGUAUACUUGACCUCAGCAUCCAUUUUGUAGUUUAAUAUUGUACUCAAAGUCUCCCGAGUCAAAUUUUUUGCUAUAGUUGGGAAAUUAAUA
Vigna umbellata (rice bean) is the source of this 1934-nucleotide non-coding RNA. The record is from RefSeq and is a predicted model, not a curated record. NCBI's taxonomy places the organism in Eukaryota, Viridiplantae, Streptophyta, Magnoliopsida, Fabales, Fabaceae.